GACGAACGCUGGCGGCGUGCUUAACACAUGCAAGUCGAACGGAAAGGCCCUGCUUGCAGGGUACUCGAGUGGCGAACGGGUGAGUAACACGUGGGUGAUCUGCCCUGCACUUCGGGAUAAGCCUGGGAAACUGGGUCUAAUACCGGAUAGGAGCCAUUUUUAGUGUGAUGGUUGGAAAGUUUUUUCGGUGUAGGAUGAGCUCGCGGCCUAUCAGCUUGUUGGUGGGGUAAUGGCCUACCAAGGCGGCGACGGGUAGCCGGCCUGAGAGGGUGGACGGCCACAAUGGGACUGGGAUACGGCCCAGACUCCUACGGGAGGCAGCCGGGGGGAAUAUUGCACAAUGGGCGGAAGCCUGAUGCAGCGACGCCGCGUGGGGGAGGGCGGCCUUCGGGUUGUAAACUCCUUUCGCUAGGGACGAAGCUUUUUGUGACGGUACCUAGAUAAGAAGCACCGGCUAACUACGUG
RNAcentral lists this ribosomal RNA (465 nucleotides) under uncultured bacterium. RNAcentral's name for it is "partial 16S ribosomal RNA". It matches the Rfam family "Bacterial small subunit ribosomal RNA", at positions 28 to 507 of the family's 1533-position model. The record is from RNAcentral.